Molecule: ribosomal RNA, 433 nt
Filed under: uncultured bacterium
Lineage: Bacteria
Description: partial 16S ribosomal RNA
Rfam family: Bacterial small subunit ribosomal RNA
Source: RNAcentral
AACGAACGCUGGCGGCAUGCCUAACACAUGCAAGUCGAACGAGACCUUCGGGUCUAGUUGCGCACGGGUGCGUAACGCGUGGGAACCUGCCCUUAGGUUCGGAAUAACUCCCCGAAAUGGGUGCUAAUACCGGGUAAUGUCUUCUGACCAAAGAUUUAUCGCCUUUGGAUGGGCCCGCGUUGUAUUAGCUAGUUGGUAGUGUAAAAGCCUACCAAGGCGACGAUCCAUAGCUGGUCUGAGAGGAUGAUCAGCCACACUGGGACUGAGACACGGCCCAGAAUCCUACGGGAGGCAGCAGUGGGGAAUAUUGGAAAAUGGGCGAAAGCAUGAUGCAGCAAUGCCGCGUGAGUGAUGAAGGCCUUAGGGUUGUAAAGCUCUUUUACACGGGAUGAUAAUGACAGUACCGGGAGAAUAAGCACCGGCUAACUCCGUG